This is a long non-coding RNA of Lotus japonicus, 1388 nucleotides long. RefSeq lists it as uncharacterized. Lineage: Eukaryota; Viridiplantae; Streptophyta; Magnoliopsida; Fabales; Fabaceae. The record is from RefSeq and is a predicted model, not a curated record. The transcript has 4 exons.
AUAUCAGACCCAAAGCGGGUGAUCCCAUUUCAGGAUUCAUGAAAUUGAAACAGGGCAUUGUAUUAUCUUAAUUCCUCAUUUAGUCCCCCUAGCCUCCACUUAAUUCUUGUAGAAUUCUUUCUAAAUUUUCAGUAGUUUAGAUAAUUUUACCCACUUAAUUCUAUUAUACAUAAUACGUACCCAGCAACACUAAAUAAAAAAAAAGAGAAAUGCUAUAUGCCACGAAGCCACUAUUGCAUACAACGCACGACCAAUGAGAAUGACUUCUAGUGGAAAUCAUGGGGAGUAAAUGGUAAAAUAAUAAGAGUAGGCAAAAUCCACCCUGUUAUCUAAUAAUUUUGAGAGUGAGGUACUCAAACCACACACACUCUAUCAGGAAGUUCCACGUCAGCUUUUUAAUAACAAAAACCCCUUCUCUCUUUUAUUUCCUGAAGACGUGUUUAUCACGCGCUAAGGCUGCUCUUGGUUUUCCUCUGAUUCAAUUUCACUCUCCCGAAUCAAAUCCCUAAAUCACUCCUCUGUAGUUCCAAGCUCUAUCCUCGGUCCAUGUGUUUCUGUAUGUUUCAGGAUUUCAAUGUUUCUGAUAAGUCUGGUGAGAUUUACGGAGGGUGCUAUUACAAGGGGACACAUGGAGUUGUUGUUAUUGAUAGAGAUUUAUAUCCCAUUCCAAUUGAUACUAUGAAAAUAGAGGUGAGUAAUAUGUUAGGUGAGUAAUAGCUUGUGCUAAUUGAGCUUCAUGAGAUCAAUGAGAUUAGACUGCAAAAAUAAUUAAAGUCAAGAUCUGAAUGCAAGUUAUGAUGUAGAUAUGGGGAUUGAGGUUUGAAUGGACCAUUAUACUCAACAAGAUCAGGGAGCAGAACAAUGAGACUGUUAAGGGCCUCGAAUUCAUGAUGGAGGAUUGGAUCAAACAUUUUGAGGACCUAGCUGGCUCUCAGGAAAUUAAUGCUAUCUCUCAAUAUGCAAAUGAAUUAGCUAUCUCUCGUGGAUGGAAUGGAUGGAAUAGAGGACACGGCUCUUGCUCUUAAGACGAUUCUUUUAGGUGGCAGUGUUACACAAGAGGUCUAAAGAAGAUUGAUAGUUUCAACCAAUGAAUGGGUUAAGAACUUGGAGAUGUGGAAGAAUUGAAUAAGCAAUCUACCUUUGAUGCUUAUUGGGAUACGGUUGAAAGCGAAAAUGUGGUUGACAGUUCAACUAUUUCUUCCAUUGAUCAGGAUUUUAGCAUAGUUGAUUUGUCCUCAAGCUGGAAUUUGAAGGCUCAAAAUUAAAGGGAUUUUUUUUUAUAUUGUGCUUGGUAUCAGUUUUGAUUAUAUAUAUGGUUCCUGAUUUGUUGUAUUGCCUUUUUUUCUGUUUAUUUGUUAGCUCAAGUCUGAUUAUAUACUUCUUCAUUU